RNAcentral lists this ribosomal RNA (799 nucleotides) under Engystomops petersi (Peters' dwarf frog). Its description in RNAcentral is "partial large subunit ribosomal RNA". It matches the Rfam family "Bacterial large subunit ribosomal RNA", at positions 1518 to 2542 of the family's 2925-position model. The record is from RNAcentral. Lineage: Eukaryota; Metazoa; Chordata; Amphibia; Anura; Leptodactylidae.
UUUUAAUACUAUUAUUUACAAUGAACCCUUUAUUUUUACUGAAUAUUUCUAUAAAGUUAUAGAACCUUUUAUGUUGAAACUAGUAACAAGAAGUUAAACUUCUCCUCAAUAUAAGUAUAAGUCGACUAGGAUAAACCAUCGACAAUUAACGCUUAAAUUAAAUGUAUUAACUCCACAAGAAAAACUUACAUUACCCCACGUUAAUCUUACACCAGAACAUUUAAGGAAAGAUUUAAAAAAAAGGAAGGAACUCGGCAAACAUUAACCCCGCCUGUUUACCAAAAACAUCGCCUUCUGAUAUAUUAUAGAAGGUCCAGCCUGCCCAGUGAAUUAAUUUAACGGCCGCGGUAUCCUAACCGUGCGAAGGUAGCGUAAUCACUUGUUCUUUAAAUGAGGACUAGUAUGAAUGGCACCACGAAGGUUAUACUGUCUCCCUUUUUUGAUCAGUUAAACUAAUCUUCACGUGAAGAAGCGUGAAUAAACAUAUAAGACGAGAAGACCCUAUGGAGCUUAAAAUUACACAACAAUUGUUAAAAAAAUCCUAAAUUUUAUAAAUAAUUUUUUACUAAACACCAUGAUUGCUAAUUUUUGGUUGGGGUGACCGCGGAGUAAAAAUUAACCUCCACAAUGAAAGAAAUCAAUAUUCUAAACUAAGAGCUACAACUCAAAGUAUUAAUAUUUUAACAUUCUUUGAUCCAAUAUUUGAUCAACGAACAAAGUUACCCUAGGGAUAACAGCGCAAUCUACUUUGAGAGCUCCUAUCGACAAGUAGGUUUACGACCUCGAUGUUGGAUCAGGG